GACAAACACCAUAUAGCCAUUAGUUAUUUUUAUGAUAUCUUGUCUGAGAAGGAAAACCUGCACAUGUCUGUAGAUCGGAGAAUAGUUUUAAGAGCUACUGUACUGCCUCACACCACCCCACCCCAAACAGCUGCUUAUUAUUCCUCUCUCUGGGUACAAUUUAAGACUGAUACUGGAGUCCCUGUUUAAUUAUUCAAUUGAUAAUAGAAAUAAAUAUUUGAUUGUAACAUCUUCCAAAAAUCUAAUUUUAACCUGUAAUGUCACUACUUAUGUUGAUAACUUUGAAUAAAUUGCCAUGAUACAAAGUUAUUUUUCUUGUUUAUCAAUCUUUUAAAAUUUUAUUAAUAGCAUUGAAUUAUUGUUUAGUUGAGGUGGACAGUUUGUAUGCCCAGUUUUAAGUGUGAAGUAAAGCAAUUGUAAGAGAAAAAUGAAAAAAGCUUUUUUUUUUUUUUCAUUUUUCCUUUUCAGGGCCACACCUGCAGCAUAUGGAAGUUGCCAGGGUAAGGGUCAAAUUGGAGCUGUAGCAACUGGCCUACACCACAGCCACAGCAAUGCCAGAUCCAAGCUGCAGUUUGCAGCCAUGCUGGAGCCUUAACCCACUGAGCAAGGCCAGGGAUUAAAGAACUGAAUCCUCAAAGACACUAUGUCAGGUUUUUAACCUGCUGAGCCACAAUGGGAAAUCCAAAAAAACACCUUUCUACCCAUACAGUUGUGGCUACUAGAUAAUGCCUACAGUGUUAGUAAAAGUAGUGUGGGAAAAAAACAAGCUUUUUCAAAAUAGUUACCAAACAGACAACUUAUUUUGUAGCGGUUAGACUAAAGGGGCAAUUUCCAGAUCUCCAUUUUUGUUGCUUAUCUUAGGAAGUUAAUGCCUGUGUCUCUUGAUGUUUGGGGGCUUUUAUCUCUCCUUGUCUGCACGGUCAGAUUCUUAUAUUUGCAUAACUGUGUUUGACUGGGCUUUCUGCCUCCAUAUUCACAGAGGGGCUAGAACCCAAUGAGGCUGGCAUCAGAUUAUGGGAAUUUUCUACUAUCAGAAUAAAAAUUCCUGAUUACUGAAAACUCCUAAUGAACUUUAAGGAAUUAACAGUACAGCAUUUCUCCUGAACUACCAAGUCUUUUAGUCCUGUUUUACCGAUUUAUUUGUAUGUAGAGUUGCUAUCUACCAGCCUGUGUGUAUCAAUAUCAGGAGAAUUGAAAAACACAUUCAAUGAAAAGGUGAGUUGUAAGGCUGUGUGCACAGUAUGAUGCCAUUUAAAUAAAUUUUUUUUAAAUUGAAGUAUUAUGUUCAUUUUCCAUAAAUUCAUAUAUUUAGAACUAUUAGGAUUAUUCUAUGAUAUUACAUAUUAUAUAAUAUAUAUAGAUAUAGACACUCUAUAAUAUAUAUUUUAUUAGGCUAUAAUUAUUCUAUUAUAUCUAUAUAUUGUAUAUUCUAUAUAUAUUCUAUUACUAUUCUAAUUAUAAUUCUGUAUAUUAGAAUAUAAUUCGAUAUAAUAUUCAUAUAUUAGAAAAACAUAUAGACCAAACUCAAGGUUCGCUUCUAGUGAGGAUAAAGGAGAUCAAAAUCAUGACGCUGAGUCAAGGUGACCUUGAGCAUCCCUGUAAUAUUCUAAUUUUUAUGGCAAUGAAUUCAUCUAUGUGUUGGCUGCACCCACGGCAUAGGAAAGUUCUCAGGCUAGGGGUGGAAUUUGUCUCAGCCACAGCAAUACCAGAUCUGAGCCAUGUUUACAACCUACACUGCUGGAUGCUUAACCCACAAUUGAGGCCAGGGAUCGAACCCACAUCCCCAGGAAUACCAGUUGGGUUCGUUACUCCUGAGCCACAAUGAGAACUCCUUUUUUUUUUUUUUUCAUUUUGUUAGAAUAUAGUUGACUUACAUUGGUGUGUUACUUUCAGGUGUACAGCAAAGUGUUCCUCUCUGUUCUUUUUAUCACUUUUUAAAAUUUCAAAGCAAGGAUGCACACACACACACCCCAUGUCUCACAAGAAAAAAGACAAAGAUCAAGAUGAGGUUGGGAAAUUUUCCAACUUGAGAAUCCCACUUCCUGAAAGUGGAGGCUGGAAACUUGCUUUCCUAGCCUCCCUUGCAGUAGCUUCUAAGUGUUUUUCCUGAGGUUGUGGAUGUCGUGCCCAAUGCUAUGGUCCGGCUGGAGAUUCUGCCAGCUACCUAAUAAAGAUGUUUCAGACAUUUGGCAUCAUUUAGAAAAAACUCAUAAAUAUCUUAUAGCCUAUUUUCAUUAACCUUAAUGAGGUAUAAUUUUCAUCAAAUAAAAUUCUUCCAUUUGUAGGGGACCAUGCUGAGCUUCAGCCAGUAUACACAGUCAUGUAAUCACCACACAACCUAGAUACAGGUCAUUUCCAGCAUCCCCAAAACUUCCCUUAGGCCUCUUUUAGUUAACCCUAUGCUCCAGGCCACCAGUGGUCUGUUUUCUGUCAUCCUAGAUUACUUUUGCUAAAGUAGACAUUUCAUUCUAAAAUAUCAUAUAAAUGGGAUCAGAUAGAAGGUACCCUUCACAUCUGAUUUCUUUCAUCUUCUUACUGUUUCCAAACAAUGUUUACUGAUGAAAACAAUUACAACUCAUCUCAAUUAUUUUCCCUCAUGGAAAAAAGCAUACGUGUGUAUUCAAAUGAACAACAAAAGCAGAAAUGACGAACAUUUGGAGUUAUUAUGUUGGAGUGUGCGAUGUGUCACGUUCCAGAAAUUCACUGUUUUAAGUUAAUAGCGUAGUUGAGAAGAAUUCUUGCCAUCCUCUUCUAUCAUGUUCUCUUUUGAGGAGGUGUAAAAUAUGGAACUGCUUAUUAGAAAAUGCACCUCCAUUUUCUACAUAUUGAAAAAAAAAUGCAUCAUCUUGGGUUUCCUUCAGUGAUCUAAUGCAUUAGAUUCUCUGAGGACUGAAAAUAUAAAUUUGCUUUUUUUACUUAUAUUCUUGGCGAUUCUUAUCACACUUGUGCUCUAAUUUUUUUGUAUUUGUGAUUUAUACCUUGAUAUUCUAAAAGAAUUCAAAACACUAGGUUAUUUAAAAAUUUAGAAAGAAUACUGUCUUCCACUCCUAGAGAAGAGAAAGAAGAUAUAAAAGAACAAGUAUCCAUUUGAUUUUGUGAAGGUUUUUAGAAGAAAAAAAAAAAAUGAAAUGCUUAAGACCAUUCUGGCAAAGUGGGAUUUUGGGGGCAAAAAAGUAACAAUAAAAACCAGGCAUCAUAUUAUCUCUCUUCUUUGGCUCAAACCACUUAACUGGUUGGUAGCCAAGUCUAUUAUCACUUCAGAUUCUGCAGACUGAUUAUUUCUUUAUCCAGUGAUAAAAUUUCUAACACACUUCACCAUGACAGGAUCCCAUGAAAACAAACAAACAAAAAUCCAGUUUCCAAAUGGUAUUUUGCAACAAGAUCUAAUGAAACCAAUCACUGGAGAUGCAUUGGAGAGGAAGGUGAGAAUAUAUUCUUGGGUGGAGAUAUUAGGCUGUAAGCUAGAAAUAAUGUAUUAAAGCAUUCCACAUGGUUGAAGUUCCCAUUGUGGCCCAGCAGUAAUGAACCGGACUAAUAUCCAUGAGGACACAGGUUCAGUCCUGGCCUCACUCAGUGGAUUAAGGAUCUGGUGUUGCUGUGAGCUGUGGUGUAGGUCACAGACACAGCUAGGAUCUGGUGUUGCUGUGGCUGUGGUGUAGGCCAGCGGCCACAGCUCCAAUUCCACCCCUAGCAUGGAAAUUUCCAUGUGCCUCCGGUGCAGCCCUAAAAAG
This 3731-nucleotide long non-coding RNA is filed under the name Sus scrofa (pig). RNAcentral describes it as "lncRNA (ENSSSCG00065014153.1)". Lineage: Eukaryota; Metazoa; Chordata; Mammalia; Artiodactyla; Suidae. The record is from RNAcentral.